GGUUAUAUUACCUAAAUUUGAGAUAAUUGAAUGUUUCAGCCCAGCGUGCAUUCAGCUCCUGUGGCUUGAAGUGAAAUUUUGGAAAGCUCGGCGAAAGCGAAGCAAU
Molecule: small RNA, 106 nt
Filed under: Gongylonema pulchrum
Lineage: Eukaryota; Metazoa; Nematoda; Chromadorea; Rhabditida; Gongylonematidae
Description: SL1 RNA
Rfam family: SL1 RNA
Source: Rfam by way of RNAcentral